This 72-nucleotide transfer RNA is filed under the name Bradyrhizobium japonicum. RNAcentral describes it as "tRNA-Gln". RNAcentral also lists the same sequence under 1 other name. Lineage: Bacteria; Pseudomonadati; Pseudomonadota; Alphaproteobacteria; Hyphomicrobiales; Nitrobacteraceae. The record is from RNAcentral.
GUUGAUAUAGCAGGAGCUGUCGGCGGAUUUUGAUUCCGCCAUUCGGAGGUUCGAUCCCUCCCGCCCCAGCCA